UUGUAACCAGAAAUAUAUAAAAUGGGGGAUAAAAAGAAUAAAAAAAAAGUGAUACCAAGUGAUACCAAGGUAUAUGGGAUAAAGAAUACUAUGAAGUUGAUUGUCGGAAACGUUGAGUUUCCAAAGAAAGUUUAAGUAUGAUUUAGUCACGAGUAAUUUCUUUUACGUAUUAGAAAGAAUGAGAGCUACGUAUCACUAGCAUGGUUAUAUGAUAGAAAGGAUGAAUGAAUGUCUAAAAUAAAGAAUGAUACGAUACGAUCGUCAAUGACGAUAAGGUAUGAAGUAUGAAUGAUGAAUGGAACGUGUCAUGAUAAAAUGAUGUUAAAACAUGAUGGUGGAAAGUAUGAAAUGAAAUCUAAUGAAUGUAAUGAAUGUUUUAUGUAGAUGGCGGACAAUGUAAACAUGAAUGAUAAUGAAACCAUGAAUAUAAGUUGACUAACACGAAGGCUAU
RNAcentral lists this long non-coding RNA (451 nucleotides) under Helianthus annuus (common sunflower). Lineage: Eukaryota; Viridiplantae; Streptophyta; Magnoliopsida; Asterales; Asteraceae. The record is from RNAcentral.